Molecule: long non-coding RNA, 210 nt
Filed under: Cicer arietinum (chickpea)
Lineage: Eukaryota; Viridiplantae; Streptophyta; Magnoliopsida; Fabales; Fabaceae
Description: long non-coding RNA (CARI_LNC000942)
Source: RNAcentral
UUCGUUUGAUUUUAUAACUUUAAAACUCCUUUAAUUAAUCUUUGUUAAUGGAUUUUGGUAUCUUUUGUUCCCUCUAUUAGUCAACCUCAAAUUAAUAGGUUAUAAGGAUCUUAAGUGUCGUUUAAGUGUAAUAUCAUUUUAGGUUCAAUUUUUGGAUCAAAUUAAACUUUAUGCAUAAAUUAAGAGAUCAAAAUGAACUUUUAUGAUGCC